RNAcentral lists this ribosomal RNA (404 nucleotides) under uncultured bacterium. Its description in RNAcentral is "bacterial SSU rRNA". It matches the Rfam family "Bacterial small subunit ribosomal RNA", at positions 355 to 775 of the family's 1533-position model. The record is from RNAcentral.
UAGGGAAUAUUGGUUAAUGUGCGAAAGCGCGAACCAGCAACGCCGCGUGUGCGAUGAAGGCUUUCGGGUCGUAAAGCACUUUUUGCAGGGAAGAGGAAGGACGGUACCUGCAGAAUAAGUCUCGGCUAACUACGUGCCAGCAGCCGCGGUAAAACGUAGGAGACGAGCGUUAUCCGGAUUUACUGGGCGUAAAGCGCGUGCAGGCGGGAUGGCAAGUUGGAUGUGAAAGCUCCCGGCUUAACUGGGAGAGGUCGUUCAAUACUGCCAGGCUUGAGAGUGGGAGAGGGAAGCGGAAUUCCGGGCGUAGUGGUGAAAUGCGUAGAUAUCCGGAGGAACACCAGUGGCGAAAGCGGCUUCCUGGCCCAUUUCUGACGCUCAGACGCGAAAGCUAGGGUAGCAAACGG